This 806-nucleotide unclassified non-coding RNA is filed under the name Hevea brasiliensis (rubber tree). Lineage: Eukaryota; Viridiplantae; Streptophyta; Magnoliopsida; Malpighiales; Euphorbiaceae. The record is from RNAcentral.
GGGGGAACCAUGGCGACUUCUCUCGUCGGAGCAUUCUUAUCCCCCUCCCCCAUCCCCAUUCCCCGGCUCACCCGACCCACCACCGCCGCCACAGCCGUCUCCCUCCUCUCCACCCCGCGCGGCCACUCUUCCCUCCCCCUCCGCUCUCGCAUCCCUGCCGCCGCUAGGAAAUGGACGCUCUCCGCCGCUCCGGAAGCACUGGAGGCCGAGGAAGCUCCGGCGGAGCCGGAGCCGGUCGAGGCACAGAUCGCCGCUUCUGAGGCGAGCGAAGCUCCGAAGGGCGAGGACGUCUUUGCUGUGGUCAUGAUCGGGUCUCGGCAGUACAUUGUGUUCCCGGGGCGGUUCAUCACCACGCAAAGGCUAAAGGGGGCGAAUGCUGAUGACAAGAUCAUCCUGAGCAAAGUACUGCUGGUCGGUACCAGAACAAAAACAUACAUCGGGCAGCCAGUUGUAACAAAUGCUGCUGUGCAUGCAGUUGUGGAAGAACAGGGACUGAAUAAAAAGGUGAUUGUCUACAAGUACAAGCGAAAGAAGAACUAUAGGAGGAAUAUCGGCCACCGACAGCCGAACACGCGGAUCAGGAUUACUGGUAUCAGUGGGUACCAAGACUUCCCAGCCGAAACACUCGAGUCGAUUCCUGCAUGAGGUUCAUUCGCGGAGAAAUGCGUUGUGUUGUAACAUAAAGUUGUCGAUCAGCUUUUAGAGAUUGAAGGUUUACAUAAUUUUGUAUUGUGAAUUUACAUCUUCAGCUAGCCAGUUGAAUCUCGCGGAUUGCAUGUCAAGUUUACCAUUUCUUAUCAUCCAUC